UGACACAACAUGUUAAGUGUGCAAAUGGACAACUAAGCACAUCUCAAAUGCGCGCAAGCAUGCGCGCAUGCACAUACCCGCACGUGAGUGCACAACAAGCCACACGCUGCAUGUAUGCUCCCUAGUAGAGCAGAUGCCUAGUCCAUGCCCAGCAGCCCAGAUGGCCAGGUCGUGCCCAAUAUGCAUGCAACAACUUAGCCUACACAUGCUUAAGCUCAGCAGGCAAUAUGCAUUGGCAGCCCAGCUAUGUGACCAAGAC
This 259-nucleotide long non-coding RNA is filed under the name Carica papaya (papaya). RNAcentral describes it as "long non-coding RNA (CPAP_LNC005462)". The record is from RNAcentral. Lineage: Eukaryota; Viridiplantae; Streptophyta; Magnoliopsida; Brassicales; Caricaceae.